UGGGGAAUCUUCCGCAAUGGGCGAAAGCCUGACGGAGCAACGCCGCGUGAGUGAUGAAGGUUUUCGGAUUGUAAAGCUCUGUUAUUCGGGAAGAAAGGUACUCUUGAAAAUAUUGGGAGUAAUUGACGGUACCGAAGGAGAAAGCCACGGCUAACUACGUGCCAGCAGCCGCGGUAAUACGUAGGUGGCAAGCGUUAUCCGGAAUUAUUGGGCGUAAAGGGCGUGUAGGCGGGAUAAUAAGUCUAUUGUAAAAAUGCGAGGCUCAACCUCGUAGAGCGAUGGAAACUAUUAUUCUUGAGUAUCGGAGAGGAAAGCGGAAUUCCCAGUGUAGCGGUGAAAUGCGUAGAUAUUGGGAAGAACACCAGUGGCGAAGGCGGCUUUCUGGACGAUCACUGACGCUGAGGCGCGAAAGCCAGGGGAGCGAACGGG
Molecule: ribosomal RNA, 429 nt
Filed under: uncultured bacterium
Lineage: Bacteria
Description: bacterial SSU rRNA
Rfam family: Bacterial small subunit ribosomal RNA
Source: RNAcentral